RNAcentral lists this small RNA (18 nucleotides) under Bombyx mori (domestic silkworm). RNAcentral's name for it is "ovarian small RNA-27273". The record is from RNAcentral. Lineage: Eukaryota; Metazoa; Arthropoda; Insecta; Lepidoptera; Bombycidae.
UCCCGAAGCAUCCGUGCC